GUGAUUUUGGAGCCCCCCCAAAAUAAAGUCUGCCACUGUUUCCACUAUUUACCCACCUAUUUGCCUUGAAGUGAUGGGACCAGAUGCCAUGAUCUUAUAUAUUAUUUAGAAAAAUUUCCUUUUAAAAUGGGACAAUUUGGGAGCUCCCAUGUGCCCAUGAUGAGCGUUUGUGUAACAGUUAGUGACUGUCACCAUGACUGCAUCAUCAGACGAUUCAUUUCUUAGUUUUCAGUAUGGGUUGCCUAAUUCUGUAAUGGUUUGGACCUUCUACAGCUUUAACUUAUUUACAUUCCUGGACAAGUUUCACUUAAUUCAGUGUUUGCCAUGCCUUUCACGUCAAAGCAUAGAAAAUGAUCAUCUUUGUACACACACUGGCUUGAGAGUUUCAAUUUCUCUCACCCUUUGCGUCAAGUUAUUCACAGAUGUGGCAAAGCAUACAGUUGNAAAACUCCUAUUUACUUACUGAAUAUGGGGCCUCCUUGAUGGCUUAAUGGUAAAGAAUCUGCCUACAAUGCAAGAGACGCAAAAGACUAGUUCAAUCCCUGGAUCAGGAAGAUCCCCUGGAGGAGAAAAUGGCAACCCACCCCAGUAUCCUUGCCUGAAAAAGAACUCAUGGACAGAGGAGCCUGGAGGGCUACAAUCCAAAGGGUCACAAAGAGAUGGACUCUACCGAGUGGCUAAACACACAUAGUUAACAACUGGGCAAGUAAAGGAAGCACAGAACUCUGCUGAAAUUCUGUGUCAGUGAAAAUGGCAACAGUAAGUAUUCUGCCUAUUCACUAUAAGAAGGCGUUCCUUCAAUCUGUAAAGGGCAUUUAUUUGAUAAAGACUCCUUUAUGGAAAAUUAAGCUAUCACUUAGAACUUUAAAAUUCAUUAUUGAAAAUGAGAAAUCAUAAUCAUUUUAUCCAAUAUAGCUUUUUCAAGAAAGGAGAAAUAUUCACAAAUUUCAUGGAAUUUGAAUGAUUAAAAACCAUUUGGAAGUAACAGCCAGAAACCUCUCUUAUUUAGAAAAACAAAAUGUGGAAAUUAUUUUUAAAAAAUGAACAUUUGAUUUUAUUAACCAUAGGAAGAAACUGUUAGUUGUUUAGUUUUAUCUGACUCUUUGCAGCCCCACGGACUAUAGCCCACAAGGGUCCUCUGUCCAUGGGAUUUCCCAGGCAAGAAUACUGGAGUGGGU
Molecule: long non-coding RNA, 1178 nt
Filed under: Capra hircus (goat)
Lineage: Eukaryota; Metazoa; Chordata; Mammalia; Artiodactyla; Bovidae
Description: lncRNA (ENSCHIG00010006646.1)
Source: RNAcentral